CCUCCCCGGAUAGUGUUGUGGGAGUGGUUCGUGUCGCGCGUCUAGGGGUAGUGCACUUUUAUGGCUAGGGACACGUCUAGAGGUACCAACCCAUUGCAAACGCCGAAUGCCAGAAAGUGCAAUCACGGGAGACAGACGGCGGGAGAUAAGUUUCGUCGUCGAAAGGGAAACAGCCCAGACCGCCAGCUAAGGUCCCCAAAUCACAGCUCAGUGGGAAACGAUGUGGGAAGGCCCAGACAGCCAGGAGGUUGGCUUAGAAGCAGCCACCCUUUAAAGAAAGCGUAAUAGCUCACUGGUCAAGUCGGCCUGCGCGGAAGAUAUACCGGGGCUAAGCUGUGUACCGAAGCUGCGGAUGCAAGCUUGCUUGCAUGGUAGGGGAGCGUUCUGUAAGCCUGUGAAGGUGUGCCGUGAGGCAUGCUGGAGGUAUCAGAAGUGCGAAUGCUGACGUGAGUAACGAUAAAGGGGGUGAAAAACCCCCUCGCCGAAAGUCCAAGGUUUCCUGCGCAAUGUUAAUCAGCGCAGGGUUAGUCGGCCCCUAAGGCGAGGCCGAAAGGCGUAGUCGAUGGAUAACAGGUUAAUAUUCCUGUACCAAGUGUGAUUGCGAUGGGGGGACGGAGAAGGCUAGGCCAGCCGGGCGUUGGUUGUCCCGGUUUAAGCGUGUAGGGAGUGUUCUUAGGUAAAUCCGGGAGCACAAUUCUGAGACGUGAUGACGAGAUUUCUUUUGAAAGUGAAGUGGUUGAUACCAUGCUUCCAGGAAAAACCUCUAAGCUUCAGGUUAUAUGUGUCCGUACCCUAAACCGACACAGGUGGACAGGGCGAGAAGCCCAAGGCGCUUGAGAGAACUCGGGUGAAGGAACUCGGCAAAAUGACACCGUAACUUCGGGAGAAGGUGUACCUCCGUUAAGUGAUGGUCUUCGCGACCGGAGCGGAAGGGGGUUGCAACAAAGAGGUGGCUGCGACUGUUUAUUAAAAACAUAGCACUCUGCAAACUCGCAAGAGGACGUAUAGGGUGUGACGCCUGCCCGGUGCCGGAAGGUUAAUUGAUGGGGUUAGUCCUCGGACAAAGCUCUUGAUCGAAGCCCCGGUGAACGGCGGCCGUAACUAUAACGGUCCUAAGGUAGCGAAAUUCCUUGUCGGGUAAGUUCCGACCUGCACGAAUGGCGUAACGAUGGCCACGCUGUCUCCACCAGAGACUCAGUGAAAUUGAAUUUGCGGUGAAGAUGCCGUAUACGCGCGGCUAGACGGAAAGACCCCGUGCACCUUUAC
This 1266-nucleotide ribosomal RNA is filed under the name marine sediment metagenome. Its description in RNAcentral is "bacterial LSU rRNA". It matches the Rfam family "Bacterial large subunit ribosomal RNA", at positions 853 to 2104 of the family's 2925-position model. The record is from RNAcentral.